GACGAACGCUGGCGGCGUGCUUAACACAUGCAAGUCGAACGGAAAGGCCCUGCUUUUGUGGGGUGCUCGAGUGGCGAACGGGUGAGUAACACGUGAGUAACCUGCCCUUGACUUUGGGAUAACUUCAGGAAACUGGGGCUAAUACCGGAUAGGAGCUCCUGCUGCAUGGUGGGGGUUGGAAAGCUUCGGCGGUUGGGGAUGGACUCGCGGCUUAUCAGCUUGUUGGUGGGGUAGUGGCUUACCAAGGCUUUGACGGGUAGCCGGCCUGAGAGGGUGACCGGCCACAUUGGGACUGAGAUACGGCCCAGACUCCUACGGGAGGCAGCAGUGGGGAAUAUUGCACAAUGGGCGGAAGCCUGAUGCAGCAACGCCGCGUGCGGGAUGACGGCCUUCGGGUUGUAAACCGCUUUCGCCUGUGACGAAGCGUGAGUGACGGUAAUGGGUAAAGAAGCACCGGCUAACUACGUGCCAGCAGCCGCGGUGAUACGUAGGGUGCGAGCGUUGUCCGGAUUUAUUGGGCGUAAAGGGCUCGUAGGUGGUUGAUCGCGUCGGAAGUGUAAUCUUGGGGCUUAACCCUGAGCGUGCUUUCGAUACGGGUUGACUUGAGGAAGGUAGGGGAGAAUGGAAUUCCUGGUGGAGCGGUGGAAUGCGCAGAUAUCAGGAGGAACACCAGUGGCGAAGGCGGUUCUCUGGGCCUUUCCUGACGCUGAGGAGCGAAAGCGUGGGGAGCGAACAGGCUUAGAUACCCUGGUAGUCCACGCUGUAAACGGUGGGUACUAGGUGUGGGGUCCAUUCCACGGGUUCCGUGCCGUAGCUAACGCUUUAAGUACCCCGCCUGGGGAGUACGGCCGCAAGGCUAAAACUCAAAGGAAUUGACGGGGCCCCGCACAAGCGGCGGAGCAUGCGGAUUAAUUCGAUGCAACGCGUAGAACCUUACCUGGGUUUGACAUGGAUCGGGAGUGCUCAGAGAUGGGUGUGCCUCUUUUGGGGUCGGUUCACAGGUGGUGCAUGGCUGUCGUCAGCUCGUGUCGUGAGAUGUUGGGUUAAGUCCCGCAACGAGCGCAACCCUUGUUCACUGUUGCCAGCACGUUAUGGUGGGGACUCAGUGGAGACCGCCGGGGUCAACUCGGAGGAAGGUGGGGAUGACGUCAAGUCAUCAUGCCCCUUAUGUCCAGGGCUUCACGCAUGCUACAAUGGCUGGUACAGAGAGUGGCGAGCCUGUGAGGGUGAGCGAAUCUCGGAAAGCCGGUCUCAGUUCGGAUUGGGGUCUGCAACUCGACCUCACGAAGUCGGAGUCGCUAGUAAUCGCAGAUCAGCAACGCUGCGGUGAAUACGUUCCCGGGGCU
RNAcentral lists this ribosomal RNA (1346 nucleotides) under uncultured bacterium. Its description in RNAcentral is "partial 16S ribosomal RNA". It matches the Rfam family "Bacterial small subunit ribosomal RNA", at positions 28 to 1381 of the family's 1533-position model. The record is from RNAcentral.